This 276-nucleotide long non-coding RNA is filed under the name Elaeis guineensis (African oil palm). RNAcentral's name for it is "long non-coding RNA (EGUI_LNC045620)". The record is from RNAcentral. Lineage: Eukaryota; Viridiplantae; Streptophyta; Magnoliopsida; Arecales; Arecaceae.
AAAAAUAUCUAAAUUAGUUAAACUGAUUUACCUUAAUGGCAUAAGUCAACUCCAAUCAAUCAGUGAUCUAAUCAAAACAUAAUCUACUAAAUUGACUAGGUAAGUGAGAUCGAUAAGAGGAUCUAUCUCGGUUUGCCUUAGACACCAUCAAAAUAGUCAGGUAAGCAGACUGACAAUUAAAAAGCACCGAUCAAAUUGUCCUACUUACCUUAGAUACCAAUUGGUCGAUUGAUUUUGAUUCGAUUAGCCAAUGGACUCAGGCUAAACCACUGAGCC